GAUGAACGCUGGCGGCGUGCCUAAUACAUGCAAGUCGAGCGAACAGACGAGGAGCUUGCUCCUCUGACGUUGGCGGCGGACGGGUGAGUAACACGUGGAUAACCUACCUAUAAGACUGGGAUAACUUCGGGAAACCGGAGCUAAUACCGGAUAAUAUAUUGAACCGCAUGGUUCAAUAGUGAAAGACGGUUUUGCUGUCACUUAUAGAUGGAUCCGCGCCGCAUUAGCUAGUUGGUAAGGUAACGGCUUACCAAGGCAACGAUGCGUAGCCGACCUGAGGGGGUGAUCGGCCACACUGGAACUGAGACACGGUCCAGACUCCUACGGGAGGCAGCAGUAGGGAAUCUUCCGCAAUGGGCGAAAGCCUGACGGAGCAACGCCGCGUGAGUGAUGAAGGUCUUCGGAUCGUAAAACUCUGUUAUUAGGGAAGAACAAAUGUGUAAGUAACUAUGCACGUCUUGACGGUACCUAAUCAGAAAGCCACGGCUAACUACGUG
This 497-nucleotide ribosomal RNA is filed under the name uncultured bacterium. RNAcentral's name for it is "partial 16S ribosomal RNA". It matches the Rfam family "Bacterial small subunit ribosomal RNA", at positions 28 to 507 of the family's 1533-position model. The record is from RNAcentral.